AUUGAACGCUGGCGGAAUGCUUUACACAUGCAAGUCGAACGGCAGCACGGACUUCGAUCUGGUGGCGAGUGGCGAACGGGUGAGUAAUGUAUCGGAACGUGCCCAGUCGUGGGGGAUAACGUAGUGAAAAUUACGCUAAUACCGCAUACGAUCUAUGGAUGAAAGCGGGGGAUCGCAAGACCUCGCGCGAUUGGAGCGGCCGAUAUCAGAUUAGGUAGUUGGUGGGGUAAAGGCCCACCAAGCCAACGAUCUGUAGCUGGUCUGAGAGGACGACCAGCCACACUGGAAAGGAGACACGGUCCAGACUCCUACGGGAGGCAGCAGUGGGGAAUUUUGGACAAUGGGCGAAAGCCUGAUCCAGCCAUUCCGCGUGCAGGAUGAAGGCCCUCGGGUUGUAAACUGCUUUUGUACAGAACGAAAAGGUUUCUACUAAUACUAGGAGCUCAUGACGGUACUGUAAGAAUAAGCACCGGCUAACUACGUGCCAGCCGCCGCGGUAA
Molecule: ribosomal RNA, 500 nt
Filed under: uncultured bacterium
Lineage: Bacteria
Description: partial 16S ribosomal RNA
Rfam family: Bacterial small subunit ribosomal RNA
Source: RNAcentral